RNAcentral lists this long non-coding RNA (1683 nucleotides) under Homo sapiens (human). Its description in RNAcentral is "PREDICTED lncRNA (TCONS_00244545)". The record is from RNAcentral. Lineage: Eukaryota; Metazoa; Chordata; Mammalia; Primates; Hominidae.
GACGCUAAAGCAUUUUCCCCCUGCAGAGCAUGUUGCAACAUUUAUCAGUCACACUGAGAAUCCAGAAGAUGAAGGAAAAGGUCACGUCGUUCGCUGAGAACUUACCGAAGUUGAACUCCCUCACUUUCCGCUUCCCAGCAUUGGCGGGUUCCGGGACUGGUGGCUGCGGUAGCUCAUUGGCCUUUGGUCUCUUAGACGGUGGAGAAUAAUCAUCAUCUUGAAAAAGAAAAUGGUCAUUACUGGAAGAACCAUCUUACAGUUACAGUCACCUCCUGGUCAAUUCCCAACAUUCAAAAGCUAAAGAAACAGGCUCAGAGGAUGUUAUUUGAUUGGACUAUGUUGUAUCUCUGGAGAGCACAGCUGAGAUCAGACUGUGUGUGUGUAACUCCACUAGACUACGAGGGUGCUUCUCAUAAAGGGUUGCAAGAUCAUAGUUCUCGGGGUGUUUAAAGGCAACACCUUCCGGAAGCCCCUGCACUACCACAGCCGACUGGUCUCGCAGCAUCUUCUCAUAUGGUACAGGUACCACUGUGGAUUUGCCUAAAGCUUUCCCUGGGGCAGAUGAAAAGCGGAUGAACAUCAUUCAAUGUAGGCCAAAGUGGUAAAAAGCAAAUGAGUACUGCCAGAAACAGGCAUGGAAUACCAAAACAAGAAUUUUACAGAGGAGAAAACAAACAGGAAGACAGCAGGGAGAGUUCCAGAACAAAAGGACAACAGUAAAGGACGACAGGGCAAGAAUGGAGAAUGAAGAAUUAUCAAGACAAUACCUUCACCUCUUCCGAUGACGUACCCACACAAUUUUUACAGGAUACACACAUCCUUGGCUGGGUGCGGUGGCCCAGCACUUUCGGAGGCCAAGGCGGGCAGAUCACCUGAGGUCAGGAGUUUGAGACCAACCUGGCCAACACGGUGAAACCCCGUCUCUACUAAAAAUACAAAAUUAGCCGGGCAUGGUGGCGGGUGCCUAUAGUCCCAGCUACUUAGGAGACUGAGGCAGGAGAAUCGCUUGAACCCAGGAGGCGAAGGUUGCAGUGAGCCAAGAUCACGCCACUGCACUCCAGCCUGGGUGACAAAAGCGAGACUCUGUCUCAAAAAUAAAUAAUAAUAAAAUAAAAUGCAAUAAAAAAACACACAUCUUCUAAGACACUAAGGCGUUUUGCUCCCCCAGGUAGGUAGCCCCAAUACACUUUAGUUAACCGAGUAUGAGUCUUCAUAGAGCUAUGCUGCCAGCUUAAGCCUACUGAUUCCCAAGUAUCUCAACUCUACAAUUAGAAUAAGCAACUGAUUAGGUGUAUUUUCUACUUUCUUUCAGUUAUUAACAAUGAAUAACCUUCACUCAAUAAACGAACCAGGCGCAGUGGCUCACGCCUGUAAUCUCAGCACUUGGGGAGGCCGAGGUGGGUGGAUCACUUGAGGUCAGGAGUUGGAGACCACCAGCCUGGCUAACAUGGUGAAACCCCAUCUCUAUGAAAAAUACAAAAAAAUUAGCUGGGCAUGGUGGCACAUGCCUGUAAUCCCAGCUACUCGUGAGGCUAAGGCACAAGAAUCGCUUGAGCCCGGGAAUCGGAGGUUGCAGAGAGCUGAGAUGGCACCACUGCACUCCAGCCUGGGCCACAGAGCGAGACUCCAUCUCAAAAAAAUAAAUAAAUACUUUCCCUUAGACUGACAUAAAAAUGAUUUGAC